GAUGAACGCUGGCGGCGUGCCUAAUACAUGCAAGUCGAGCGAACGGACGAGAAGCUUGCUUUUCUGAUGUUAGCGGCGGACGGGUGAGUAACACGUGGAUAACCUACCUAUAAGACUGGGAUAACUUCGGGAAACCGGAGCUAAUACCGGAUAAUAUUUUGAACCGCAUGGUUCAAAAGUGAAAGACGGUCUUGCUGUCACUUAUAGAUGGAUCCGCGCUGCAUUGGCUAGUUGGUAAGGUAACGGCUUACCAAGGCAACGAUGCAUAGCCGACCUGAGAGGGUGAUCGGCCACACUGGAACUGAGGCACGGUCCAGACUCCUACGGGAGGCAGCAGUAGGGAAUCUUCCGCAAUGGGCGAAAGCCUGACGGAGCAACGCCGCGUGAGUGAUGAAGGUCUUCGGAUCGUAAAACUCUGUUAUUAGGGAAGAACAUAUGUGUAAGUAACUGUGCACAUCUUGACGGUACCUAAUCAGAAAGCCACGGCUAACUACGUG
RNAcentral lists this ribosomal RNA (497 nucleotides) under uncultured bacterium. RNAcentral describes it as "partial 16S ribosomal RNA". It matches the Rfam family "Bacterial small subunit ribosomal RNA", at positions 28 to 507 of the family's 1533-position model. The record is from RNAcentral.